CUGGCUUUGCCUCUGACUGAAGGAGUAGGAAGAGCAAUACUGUGUCAGCCAGUUUCCAGUGGAGAAGCAAACCUCUCUAUGUAUUUCAAGCAGAGACUUUGUUACAAAGCUAUUGGAUGGGCUGGAGAGCAAAAGGGGGAGUAAAGGGAGGGAGUGCUCCCCAGAAAUCAGUUACUUAAAGGAAGCCGUUGCUGCUGCUUGGUGUGGAGAAGUCAAGAGGAAGAGUGGAGGCUGCACCCCUGCAGACAUUCCUGGAACUGAGAACUGACUGGAAGCCGCUGACAUGGGAG
RNAcentral lists this long non-coding RNA (290 nucleotides) under Equus caballus (horse). RNAcentral's name for it is "lncRNA (ENSECAG00000047481.1)". The record is from RNAcentral. Lineage: Eukaryota; Metazoa; Chordata; Mammalia; Perissodactyla; Equidae.